CCUACGGGUGGCUGCAGUGAGGAAUAUUGGUCAAUGGGCGCGAGCCUGAACCAGCCAAGUAGCGUGAAGGAUGACUGCCCUACGGGUUGUAAACUUCUUUUAUAAAGGAAUAAAGUGAGGCACGUGUGCCUUUUUGUAUGUACUUUAUGAAUAAGGAUCGGCUAACUCCGUGCCAGCAGCCGCGGUAAUACGGAGGAUCCGAGCGUUAUCCGGAUUUAUUGGGUUUAAAGGGAGCGUAGAUGGGUUGUUAAGUCAGUGGUGAAAGUUUGCGGCUCAACCGUAAAAUUGCAUUUAAUACUGGAGUUCUGGAGACAGGUGGGGGUGGGGGAAUUUGGGGUGUAGCGGUGAAAUGCUUAGAUAUCACGAAGAACUCCGAUUGCGAAGGCAGCUUACUAAACUGCCACUGACAUUGAUGCUCGAAAGUGUGGGUAUCAAACAGGAUUAGAUACCCCAGUAGUC
This 459-nucleotide ribosomal RNA is filed under the name uncultured bacterium. Its description in RNAcentral is "partial 16S ribosomal RNA". It matches the Rfam family "Bacterial small subunit ribosomal RNA", at positions 338 to 795 of the family's 1533-position model. The record is from RNAcentral.